UUUUGGAAGGGUAGGUGAUAUGGGAAUGAACCCUAAUGUGUGUCUUUCCUCUCUCUCUAUAUGCCUUAGCCUUAUCAAAAGAGGCUUGGGUGACAGACAUAUGGGAAGAAUGAGGUGAAGGGGGGCUUGGAAUCUGUCUCACUUGACACUUGAAUGUUGAGACUUUUUUUCUCAAGGCUACAAGGAAAGGCUAUGAAGAUGGAAGAGAAGGAUAGGGUGUUAUGGAUGGACUCAAGGAACGUUUGUUUUUUUAAUCCAAUUUUUAUAUUCUAUCUUGUAGCCAAGGUGCUCAAUUCCUUUCCUAGUGGGCAUCAUUUGGAAUUCAUAUGUCCAAUCUAAAGCGAGUUGUUUGUUUGUGUUUUUUUUUUGUUUUCUUUUUUGAGCAGGAAAGAGGGAGGGGACUAGCUAGGGAAAGUUGUUGUCUUUAAACCAAUUUCAAAGGAAAGAUGGUCAUUGGAAAACAUUUGUCAUUGAUGUACAAGCGAAGUGGAAUUAAUUGGUCACAUCCCAAAACAAGGUUAGCUUUUCUCUUUAUUUGGUGUUGUUUAGGUCCUUCCUUAUAUGUUUAAGGAGACUCUUUUAAGUUGGCAUAACUCCUUUGUGAGAAAAAUGCAAGAAGGUUUAGAGAGCUGCUCUUUUGUGCAUUUUUUUGGACAAUUUGGAAAGAAA
This 669-nucleotide long non-coding RNA is filed under the name Vitis vinifera (wine grape). RNAcentral describes it as "long non-coding RNA (VVIN_LNC008165)". The record is from RNAcentral. Lineage: Eukaryota; Viridiplantae; Streptophyta; Magnoliopsida; Vitales; Vitaceae.